Molecule: ribosomal RNA, 484 nt
Filed under: uncultured bacterium
Lineage: Bacteria
Description: partial 16S ribosomal RNA
Rfam family: Bacterial small subunit ribosomal RNA
Source: RNAcentral
AUUGAACGCUGGCGGCAGGCCUAACACAUGCAAGUCGAGCGGAUGAAGGGAGCUUGCUCCUGGAUUCAGCGGCGGACGGGUGAGUAAUGCCUAGGAAUCUGCCUGGUAGUGGGGGAUAACGUCCGGAAACGGGCGCUAAUACCGCAUACGUCCUGAGGGAGAAAGUGGGGGAUCUUCGGACCUCACGCUAUCAGAUGAGCCUAGGUCGGAUUAGCUAGUUGGUGGGGUAAAGGCCUACCAAGGCGACGAUCCGUAACUGGUCUGAGAGGAUGGUCAGUCACACUGGAACUGAGACACGGUCCAGACUCCUACGGGAGGCAGCAGUGGGGAAUAUUGGACAAUGGGCGAAAGCCUGAUCCAGCCAUGCCGCGUGUGUGAAGAAGGUCUUCGGAUUGUAAAGCACUUUAAGUUGGGAGGAAGGGCAGUAAGUUAAUAACUUGCUGUUUUGACGUUACCAACAGAAUAAGCACCGGCUAACUUCGUG